CCCCGCCCACACCGUGGCCACGCCCCGGCCGCGUGCUCGCCCGCCAAGCCCCGCCCACCGCACGCCGCGCUGUUGGAGGGUCUCUGGCAUCUAAGCCGGAGCGCGCGGACGAAAGUGAGGCAGACGCCCCGUAAGCCGGUCGCCGCGCGGAAAGAGGCCGGGACUCGUCGGUCGCCGCGGGCUUGUGGAGGCCCACGGCGGCGUCGACAGCGCUCUGGACAUGGAGCCUCCGCCCGCGAGCAGCCAAGAAGGCGCCGCUUACCGCGGCCUAGGCGUCGAGGAGCUCCGAGGAGAACGGCCUGAUACGAAGCCUGUGGUGAUCUCAGUAACCGCAGGAGACGAAGAGAAGGAUCUCGAGUCCGAACCUGAGCUGGGGGCAGAGGCAGCCGCCGAAGAAAGCCACGGUGCCGCGGGAGCUCCCGGCCCCGUGGACGACGAAAACCAGAGGGGCGGCGGCGGUGGCGGCGGCGGCGGCGGCGGCGGCGACGAGGAGGAGGAGGAGGAGCCCCCGCAGCAGCAGGACGAGGCCUCCGCAGCCGCCGAGGGGCCGCGGCCCCAGGACCCGCAGCAGCGCCUCCACCGCGGCUUGUUCACCCGGUUGGAGCUGAAGGAGCUGGAGAGCGUUUUCCAACGCGCUCAAUACCCCGACGUGUUCGCGCGAAAGGAUCUUACAAUAUGCGUGGAUGUGUCAGAAACCAGUAAACCUGAAAAAAGCAAUUUGCCUGGGGAGCAAUCGUAAAACCUGCUUCACGUCUGAUGCUUCUGUUCUGCACAUUCCCAAGUUGUUUUGGUUAUCUUUUCCAUGUUUGGAAAAUAAGUUUUGAAGUUUAGGGCUUUGGUGAGUGGAAAAUGGGAUAAGUAAACCCUACUUUAUGGAAAUUGCCCAUUACCAGGAUUUUGAUUUCUUAAAGGAAAACGAUAAAAGAGAACCUGCUUCUCCUAUUUCCUGUGCAAAAUUAAAUACAAAUAAAGUUUUACUCUUUAUAACA
This 989-nucleotide long non-coding RNA is filed under the name Vulpes vulpes (red fox). Its description in RNAcentral is "lncRNA (ENSVVUG00000011694.1)". The record is from RNAcentral. Lineage: Eukaryota; Metazoa; Chordata; Mammalia; Carnivora; Canidae.